UACUAGAGUAGCACUCGCAUAUCAAUAAGCGGAGGAAAAGAAACUAACAAGGAUUCCCCUAGUAACGGCGAGUGAAGCGGGAAGAGCUCAAAUUUGAAAUCUUAAAGGGUUUCCCUUUACGAAUUGUAGUUUAAAGAAGUGUUUUUCUGUUGAGGUUUUGGUAAAAGUUCUUUGGAAUAGGACAUCAUAGAGGGUGAGAAUCCCGUAUUUGACCUUUACUUUCAACUUUGUGAUACACUUUCAAAGAGUCGGAUUGUUUGGGAAUGCAGUCCAAAAUGGGUGGUAAAUUUCAUCUAAAGCUAAAUAUUGGCGAGAGACCGAUAGCGAACAAGUACCGUGAGGGAAAGAUGAAAAGAACUUUGAAAAGAGAGUUAAACAGUACGUGAAAUUGUCAAAAGGGAAGCGUUUGACACCAGUGUUGUUUUUCUGAAAAUCAAUUAAAGAACUGUUUAUGCUAAGUUGUUUAGACCUUAUCAGCUAACUGUUUAGUUUUGAGCUUUUCUUUAAUGCACUUUUCAGUUAACAAGUCAACAUCAAUUUCUUUUGCUGUAAAAAAGCUUGAGGAAGGUGGCUUGAGAUUCGUCUUAAGUGUUUAUAGCCUCUUGCCUAUGCAGUCGGAGAGAUUGAGGUCUGCAGCGUAGAUCCUUCCGGGCUAAAUGCAUUCGUGCUAAGUUAUAACAUUUUAUAGACAACUUGUUGACUAUGAUUUGUCUUGUAGCUUACUCGCUUAUGUUAUUUUACCUACGCUUAGGAUGUUGAUAUCGCGCUCUCACUG
This 775-nucleotide ribosomal RNA is filed under the name uncultured Neocallimastigales. RNAcentral's name for it is "partial large subunit ribosomal RNA". It matches the Rfam family "Eukaryotic large subunit ribosomal RNA", at positions 20 to 634 of the family's 3401-position model. Lineage: Eukaryota; Fungi; Neocallimastigomycota; Neocallimastigomycetes; Neocallimastigales. The record is from RNAcentral.